UACGUAGGGAGCGAGCGUUGUCCGGAUUCAUUGGGCGUAAAGAGCUCGUAGGCGGCUUGGCAAGUCGGGUGUGAAAACUCCAGGCUCAACCUGGAGACGCCACCCGAUACUGCCAUGGCUAGAGUCCGGUAGGGGACCACGGAAUUCCUGGUGUAGCGGUGAAAUGCGCAGAUAUCAGGAGGAACACCGGUGGCGAAGGCGGUGGUCUGGGCCGGAACUGACGCUGAGACUCGAAAGCGUGGGGAGCAAACAGG
Molecule: ribosomal RNA, 254 nt
Filed under: uncultured bacterium
Lineage: Bacteria
Description: partial 16S ribosomal RNA
Rfam family: Bacterial small subunit ribosomal RNA
Source: RNAcentral